RNAcentral lists this small RNA (792 nucleotides) under Pongo abelii (Sumatran orangutan). RNAcentral's name for it is "processed transcript". The record is from RNAcentral. Lineage: Eukaryota; Metazoa; Chordata; Mammalia; Primates; Hominidae.
AAGUGGGUGCAGAAUCCACAUCUUUCUGAAUGACAGUUCUGCUGUGAGAAGCUGCCAUUAGAGAGAUCCAGCAGGCCCCAGGACUCAGCUGGCCAGCCGGUCACACUGCUCACUGCUCAUUGUCCUCAACUGUGGACCUCUGUCCCCCUCUGCUGGCCACUCCCAGAAUUUCCUGCUGGGACUGUCAAGAUGAAGUCCAAGGAGGAAGAGACUGCUGUAUGAGCGGCUGGAGGAGCAGCUCAACGACCUGACUGAGCUUCAUCAGAACGAGAUGACGAACCUGAAGCAGGAGCUGGCCAGCAUGGAGGAGAAGGUGGCCUACCAGUCCUAUGAGAGGGCACGGGACAUCCAGGAGGCCGUGGAGUCCUGCCUGACCCGGGUCACCAAGCUGGAGCUGCAGCAGCAACAGCAGCAGGUGGUGCAGCUGGAGGGCGUGGAGAACGCCAACGCGCGGGCGCUGCUGGGCAAGUUCAUCAACGUGAUCCUGGCGCUCAUGGCCGUGCUGCUGGUGUUCGUGUCCACCAUCGCCAACUUCAUCACGCCCCUCAUGAAGACACGCCUGCGCAUCACCAGCACCGCCCUCCUGGUCCUCGUCCUGUUCCUCCUCUGGAAGCAUUGGGACUCCCUCACCUACCUCCUGGAGCACGUGUUGCUGCCCAGCUGAGUGGCCAGCCACGCCGACCCCGUGCUCUCCGGCCCCCAGCUGGCCAGACUUCUCCAGGAGGGACCCUUGGACUUCUUCGUGUGUCCAGUUUGGCCUCCUGCCCAAACUGUCCAUUCCAGCAGCUCCUG